This is a long non-coding RNA of Gossypium raimondii (Peruvian cotton), 850 nucleotides long. RefSeq lists it as uncharacterized. The transcript is spliced from 2 exons. The record is from RefSeq and is a predicted model, not a curated record. NCBI's taxonomy places the organism in Eukaryota, Viridiplantae, Streptophyta, Magnoliopsida, Malvales, Malvaceae.
UUGUUCAAAAAGGGACCGAAUUGAAAACGAAAAGAAAAAACGGGGUAAAAUUGCUAAAGUAAAGAAUAUUCACUUGAAAACACAGAGAAAAGCGGAAGGACUAGGGUAGCAAUUAUACCCUAGUCACAAAACACGCGAAUCCUCCUGGUAAACGGGUCGGGUCGUGCACGGGUCACGCAGAACGACGCCGUUUUAGCGCUAAAAACCCCUGAACGAAACGGCGGCGUUUUGUAAUAGUAUAAAAACUAAAAUUUUUUAAAGAAUCCUCAUUUCUCCUUUUAUUUCAAAAAAAACGACUAGAGAGUGAUUCUCUCUCAGCCUUCCCCCUAGAUCGGCCUAGGUCUCCGAUGGAGGGCUCCGGCGCACCUACACCAUAGCUCUGCCGCAAGCGGCGGCCGGAGGUGCAAAAUCGGCCCUUUCUUAGCCCUGUUUAAAGCUCGUCACCCCUAGAACCCGGAUUCAAGGUUGAAUCCUUGGAAAAGUGGCCACGAACCCUAGAACAGAAGGGAAACCGUUCGGCUUCUCCUCUGGCACGGCGCAGGUCAUGAGGAGUCAAUGGGCAGAAACCAUUGCCAUUUUGGUGCAACCUCGGUGAAGGAGUCGUCAUCGGGCGUCGUGCACGCCGAGGGCGCUCAUGGGGAAGUCUGCGGCGCAAGAAGGGAAGGGAAACCCUAGGGUUUCUGAAAAUUUUAAGCUCUUUGGGCUUAUCGGGCUUGAUUUUUUGGGCCAGUUAGACUAUAAUUUUUGGUUUAUUCUGCUGGUAUGGGCCCGGGCUGAAAUUGGGCUGUAAAUCCCUCAUUUCCUCUCACUUUAUUUAUUUUGAAAUUUUUAUCUACUUUUAUUUUUUUUA